GUUUCAGCCGCCGCGGUAAUACGGAGGGUGCAAACGUUGCUCGGAAUCAUUGGGCGUAAAGCGCACGUAGGCGGUCUUAUAAGUCGGAUGUGAAAUCCCUGGGCUUAACCGAGGAAGUGCAUUCGAAACUGCAAGACUUGAGUACAGGAGAGGAUCGCGGAAUUCCCGGUGUAGAGGUGAAAUUCGUAGAUAUCGGGAGGAACACCAGAGGCGAAGGCGGCGAUCUGGACUGAUACUGACGCUGAGGUGCGAAAGCGUGGGGAGCAAACAGGAUUAGAUACCCGUGUAGUCC
This 292-nucleotide ribosomal RNA is filed under the name uncultured bacterium. RNAcentral's name for it is "partial 16S ribosomal RNA". It matches the Rfam family "Bacterial small subunit ribosomal RNA", at positions 505 to 796 of the family's 1533-position model. The record is from RNAcentral.